Molecule: ribosomal RNA, 694 nt
Filed under: uncultured bacterium
Lineage: Bacteria
Description: bacterial SSU rRNA
Rfam family: Bacterial small subunit ribosomal RNA
Source: RNAcentral
UAACGCGUGGGUAACCUGCCUCACACUGGGGGAUAACAGUUAGAAAUAGCUGCUAAUACCGCAUAAGCGCACGGUUCCGCAUGGAACAGUGUGAAAAACUCCGGUGGUGUGAGAUGGACCCGCGUCUGAUUAGCCAGUUGGCGGGGUAACGGCCCACCAAAGCGACGAUCAGUAGCCGGCCUGAGAGGGUGAACGGCCACAUUGGGACUGAGACACGGCCCAAACUCCUACGGGAGGCAGCAGUGGGGAAUAUUGCACAAUGGGGGAAACCCUGAUGCAGCGACGCCGCGUGAGUGAAGAAGUAUUUCGAUAUGUAAAGCUCUAUCAGCAGGGAAGAAAGUGACGGUACCUGAAUAAGAAGCCCCGGCUAACUACGUGCCAGCAGCCGCGGUAAUACGUAGGGGGCAAGCGUUAUCCGGAUUUACUGGGUGUAAAGGGAGCGUAGACGGCAAGGCAAGUCUGAAGUGAAAGCCCGGUGCUUAACGCCGGGACUGCUUUGGAAACUGUUUGGCUGGAGUGCCGGAGAGGUAAGCGGAAUUCCUAGUGUAGCGGUGAAAUGCGUAGAUAUUAGGAAGAACACCAGUGGCGAAGGCGGCUUACUGGACGGUAACUGACGUUGAGGCUCGAAAGCGUGGGGAGCAAACAGGAUUAGAUACCCUGGUAGUCCACGCCGUAAACGAUGAUUGCUAGGUGU